UACAGAGGUCUCAAGCGUUGUUCGGAUUCAUUGGGCGUAAAGGGUGCGUAGGUGGCGCCGUAAGUCGGGUGUGAAAUUUCGGAGCUUAACUCCGAAACUGCAUUCGAUACUGCGGUGCUUGAGGACUGGAGAGGAGACUGGAAUUUAUGGUGUAGCAGUGAAAUGCGUAGAGAUCAUAAGGAAGACCAGUGGCGAAGGCGGGUCUCUGGACAGUUCCUGACACUGAGGCACGAAGGCCAGGGGAGCAAACGGG
This 253-nucleotide ribosomal RNA is filed under the name uncultured bacterium. RNAcentral's name for it is "partial 16S ribosomal RNA". It matches the Rfam family "Bacterial small subunit ribosomal RNA", at positions 524 to 776 of the family's 1533-position model. The record is from RNAcentral.